UACGGAGGGUGCAAGCGUUGUCCGGAAUCACUGGGCGUAAAGGGCGCGUAGGCGGCUCAUGAAGGCUGUGGUGAAAGUCCGGGGCUCAACCUCGGAUCGGCCGUGGCGACUCGUGGGCUGGAGCACUGUAGAGGCGGGUGGAAUUCCGGGUGUAGUGGUGGAAUGCGUAGAGAUCCGGAAGAACACCGGUGGCGAAGGCGGCCUGCUGGGCUAUGGCUGACACUGAGGCGCGACAGCGCGGGGAGCAAACAGG
RNAcentral lists this ribosomal RNA (253 nucleotides) under uncultured bacterium. Its description in RNAcentral is "partial 16S ribosomal RNA". It matches the Rfam family "Bacterial small subunit ribosomal RNA", at positions 524 to 776 of the family's 1533-position model. The record is from RNAcentral.